Molecule: long non-coding RNA, 522 nt
Organism: Macadamia integrifolia
Lineage: Eukaryota; Viridiplantae; Streptophyta; Magnoliopsida; Proteales; Proteaceae
Exons: 2
Source: RefSeq, a predicted model, not a curated record
UUUUUUCCUCUAGCAGCCAUGGCCACCACCCUUUCUCUUUGUGCUUCGGUGGUAGAAAUGCUCAAUGUGGUGGGUAUUAUGACGAGAUGGGUACUGGUCAUGCGGGGUGAUGGUGGAUGUAAUGCGCGCUUGCAAGAUGAAUUGCUUUCAUCUCCUCCUUCUCUUCCUCUGCCUCUUUUUCUUUUUUUCCCUUCGUCUUCCAUUGCUUCCCCCCCCCCCCUCUCUCUCUCUCUCUCUCUCUCUCCUUAAGCAUCUUUCUUCCACAAAGAACAACAAUCGAUUGAACUGCUGUUGUCAACCAUGAUGUCAUGGCUUCUCUUCGUCUUAAUCUCGCUACUAUUACGCUAUGCAUACACUUAUUCUGGAUUACUUUCUUUUCUUCUCUUGAUCAAUUUCUCCUUUCUUUUGAUUUUGUUGGGGAUUGGGUAUCUGGACUAUCUGGGUUUUGGAGAAUUUUUGUCUGGCUUUUUGGCAUAUGAUGUGGGAAUUUUAAAAAUUUCAAUUAGUUUUCAGAUUACUCCA